RNAcentral lists this ribosomal RNA (550 nucleotides) under uncultured bacterium. RNAcentral describes it as "bacterial SSU rRNA". It matches the Rfam family "Bacterial small subunit ribosomal RNA", at positions 777 to 1325 of the family's 1533-position model. The record is from RNAcentral.
AAUAGAUACCCAGGUAGUCCACGCCGUAAACGAUGAGUGCUAAGUGUUAGGGGGUUUCCGCCCCUUAGUGCUGCAGCUAACGCAUUAAGCACUCCGCCUGGGGAGUACGGUCGCAAGACUGAAACUCAAAGGAAUUGACGGGGGCCCGCACAAGCGGUGGAGCAUGUGGUUUAAUUCGAAGCAACGCGAAGAACCUUACCAGGUCUUGACAUCCCAUUGACCACUAUGGAGACAUAGUUUUCCCUUCGGGGACAACGGUGACAGGUGGUGCAUGGUUGUCGUCAGCUCGUGUCGUGAGAUGUUGGGUUAAGUCCCGCAACGAGCGCAACCCUUGUCUUAGUUGCCAUCAUUUAGUUGGGCACUCUAAGGAGACUGCCGGUGACAAACCGGAGGAAGGUGGGGAUGACGGUCAAAUCAUCAUGCCCCUUAUGACCUGGGCUACACACGUGCUACAAUGGACGGUACAAACGGUUGCCAACCCGCGAGGGGAGCUAAUCCGAUAAAACCGUUCUCAGUUCGGAUUGUAGGCUGCAACUCGCCUACAUGAACG